GAAUUCUCUGUGGAGGUGUGGCCUGGUCAUAGCACACGGAAGAAACCAAGUGCGUUUCCGUGUUUACGACUUUCUUUCCAGCAAUUUUUCUUCUGAAAGUUACUUUUAAAACAAGAAGAUGGGCGCUUGUAUGGCAUUGUGUUCGCUGGCCAGCUGUGCCUCGUGUCUGUGUGGCUCCGCCCCCUGCCUCCUGUCCGGCUGCUGCCCGUCCACCAACAACUCCACGGUGACGCGACUGGUCUUCUCCCUCUUCCUGCUCCUGGGCACCGCCGUGUCCAUCAUAAUGAUCCUGCCCGGCAUGGAGACGCAACUGAACAAGAUACCGGGCUUUUGCAAGGGCGGCACCUCCAUAUGGGUGAUCGAGAACAAGGUGAACUGUGACAUCAUCGUGGGCUACAAGUCCGUCUACCGCAUGUGCUUCGCCCUGGCCUGCUUCUUCUUCCUGUUCUGCCUCCUCAUGAUCCGAGUGCGCAGUAGCAAGGACCCCCGCGCCCACAUCCAGAACGGGUUCUGGUUCUUCAAGUUCAUGAUUCUGGUGGGAAUUACAGUCGGGGCCUUCUUUAUCCCUGAUGGGAUCUUCAACACAGUGUGGUUCUACUUUGGUAUGGUGGGCUCCUUCAUCUUCAUCCUCAUCCAGCUCAUCCUCCUCGUUGACUUUGCCCACUCCUGGAACGAGGCCUGGGUAGGAAGAGCUGAGGAGGGCAACAGGAAGUGCUGGUUUGCAGGCUUGCUCUUCUUCACCAUUCUCAACUAUGCCCUGGCGUUUGUUGCCAUGGUGCUGUUCUACCUGUUUUACACCCAAGCCGACGACUGCACCGAGCACAAGGUCUUCAUCAGCCUGAACCUCAUCUUCUGCGUCGUCGUCUCCGUCAUCUCCAUCCUGCCCAAAGUGCAGGAAGCUCAGCCACAGUCUGGCUUGUUGCAGUCCUCCCUCAUUAGUCUGUACACCAUGUACGUCACCUGGUCUGCCAUGUCCAACAACCCUAAUCGGAAGUGCAACCCCAGCCUUCUCAGCUUAGUGUUCAACUCCAGCAGCACCACCCCGGCCCCUACCGUUGCCCCGGGAGAGAUUCAGUGGUGGGAUGCGCAAGGCAUUGUGGGAUUGAUCAUCUUCCUUUUCUGCACCCUCUACGCCAGCAUCCGCUCGUCCAACAACGCCCAGGUGAACAGACUGAUGCAGACGGAGGAGAGCCAGGGGCUGACGGCCGUGGAGGCGGGGCCGUCGGAGGACGGGGUGCGGCGCGCCGUGGACAACGAGGAGGACGGCGUCACCUACAGCUACUCCUUCUUCCACUUCUGCCUCUUCCUGGCCUCCCUCUACAUCAUGAUGACCCUCACAAACUGGUACCAUCCGGACGCGGAGUACCAGGCGAUGCAGAGCUGCAUGCCGGCGGUGUGGGUGAAGAUCUCCUCCAGCUGGUUAGGCCUGCUGAUCUACCUCUGGACCCUGCUGGCCCCGCUCAUCCUGCCAGACCGAGACUUCAGCUAAGCACGCACCGUGUGUGUGUGUGUGUGUGUGUGUGUGUGUGUGUGUGUGUGUGUGUGUGUGUGUGUGUGUGUGU
Anguilla anguilla (European eel) is the source of this 1562-nucleotide RNA transcript. It is a transcript of the gene named serine incorporator 1-like, with no coding region annotated. The record is from RefSeq and is a predicted model, not a curated record. The transcript is spliced from 11 exons. Lineage: Eukaryota; Metazoa; Chordata; Actinopteri; Anguilliformes; Anguillidae.